This 415-nucleotide ribosomal RNA is filed under the name Polyangiaceae bacterium. Its description in RNAcentral is "bacterial SSU rRNA". It matches the Rfam family "Bacterial small subunit ribosomal RNA", at positions 1 to 402 of the family's 1533-position model. The record is from RNAcentral. Lineage: Bacteria; Pseudomonadati; Myxococcota; Polyangiales; Polyangiaceae.
UAACUGGAGAGUUUGAUCCUGGCUCAGAACGAACGUUAGCGGCGCGCCUAACACAUGCAAGUCGUGCGAGAAAGGGCUUCGGCCCCAGUACAGCGGCGCACGGGUGAGUAACACGUAGGUAAUCUUCCCUUCAGUGGUGGAUAACCCUCCGAAAGGAGGGCUAAUACAGCAUAAGACCACGGUCCUCUCGGGGGCUGUGGCCAAAGUGGGCCUCUUCAUGAAAGCUCACGCUGGAGGACGAGCCUGCGGCCCAUCAGCUAGUUGGUAGGGUAACGGCCUACCAAGGCUAAGACGGGUAGCUGGUCUGAGAGGAUGAACAGCCACACUGGAACUGAGACACGGUCCAGACUCCUACGGGAGGCAGCAGUGGGGAAUCUUGCGCAAUGGGCGAAAGCCUGACGCAGCGACGCCGCGU